GACGACUUGCCGGUAUCUACCAGGCCUUUCUCUCGAUUCUACUGCUCCUGUUCGCCUAUUAAUGAAGGGCGGUCACUGUACCUGUUUUGCAUCUGAUGAAUAUCAGAGAGCCGUGAGCGAACUGAAGAAAAUGCACACCAAGUUCCGGGAGUUAAGCUGAAAGUUCUCCACAAGAAUUGUGACACGCAAGUUCGAUACUAAAGAACGCGAAAAAGCCUUUUUGUAUCAAAAUCCGCAAAC
Molecule: long non-coding RNA, 240 nt
Organism: Dermacentor albipictus
Lineage: Eukaryota; Metazoa; Arthropoda; Arachnida; Ixodida; Ixodidae
Source: RefSeq, a predicted model, not a curated record